This 492-nucleotide ribosomal RNA is filed under the name uncultured bacterium. RNAcentral describes it as "bacterial SSU rRNA". It matches the Rfam family "Bacterial small subunit ribosomal RNA", at positions 8 to 526 of the family's 1533-position model. The record is from RNAcentral.
AGAGUUUGAUCAUGGCUCAGGAUGAACGCUGGCGGCGUGCCUAAUACAUGCAAGUCGAACGGUGAUAGUAAUAUCAUAGUGGCGACCGGGUGCGUAACACGUAGCUGACCUGCCCCUCAGCGGGGGACAACAGUGCGAAAGCGCUGCUAAUACCGCAUACGCUCGGAGAGAUUAGAGGCUUUCUGAGGAAACUUCUGGGGUUGAGGGAGGGAGCUGCGGCCCAUCAGGUAGUUGGUGAGGUAGAAGCUCACCAAGCCGACGACGGGUAGGGGGCCUGAGAGGGUGGUCCCCCACACUGGGACUGACACACGGCCCAGACUCCUACGGGAGGCAGCAGUAAGGGAUAUUGCGCAAUGGGCGAAAGCCUGACGCAGCAACGCCGCGUGGAGGAUGACGGCCUUCGGGUUGUAAACUCCUUUGGACCCGGACGAGGAAGGACGGUACGGGUCGAACAAGUCACGGCUAACUACGUGCCAGCAGCCGCGGUAAUAC